CCUCUCCUACGGGGGGCAGCAGUGGGGGAUAUUGCACAAUGGGGGGAACCCUGAUGCAGCGACGCCGCGUGAGCGAUGAAGUACUUCGGUAUGUAAACCUCUAUCAGCAGGGAAGAAAAUGACGGUACCUGACUAAGAAGCCCCGGCUAACUACGUGCCAGCAGCCGCGGUAAUACGUAGGGGGCAAGCGUUAUCCGGAUUUACUGGGUGUAAAGGGAGCGUAGACGGCAGUGCAAGUCUGAAGUGAAAGGCAAGGGCUCAACCCUUGGACUGCUUUGGAAACUGCGCUGCUGGAGUGUCGGAGA
Molecule: ribosomal RNA, 305 nt
Filed under: uncultured bacterium
Lineage: Bacteria
Description: bacterial SSU rRNA
Rfam family: Bacterial small subunit ribosomal RNA
Source: RNAcentral